GAUGAACGCUGGCGGCGUGCCUAAUACAUGCAAGUCGAGCGAACGGACGAGAAGCUUGCUUCUCUGAUGUUAGCGGCGGACGGGUGAGUAACACGUGGAUAACCUACCUAUAAGACUGGGAUAACUUCGGGAAACCGGAGCUAAUACCGGAUAAUAUUUUGAACCGCAUGGUUCAAAAGUGAAAGACGGUCUUGCUGUCACUUAUAGAUGGAUCCGCGCUGCAUUAGCUAGUUGGUAAGGUAACGGCUUACCAAGGCAACGAUGCAUAGCCGACCUGAACGGGUGAUCGGCCACACUGGAACUGAGACACGGUCCAGACUCCUACGGGAGGCAGCAGUAGGGAAUCUUACGCAAUGGGCGAAAGCCUGACGGAGCAACGCCGCGUGAGUGAUGAAGGUCUUCGGAUCGUAAAACUCUGUUAUUAGGGAAGAACAUAUGUGUAAGUAACUGUGCACAUCUUGACGGUACCUAAUCAGAAAGCCACGGCUAACUACGUG
Molecule: ribosomal RNA, 497 nt
Filed under: uncultured bacterium
Lineage: Bacteria
Description: partial 16S ribosomal RNA
Rfam family: Bacterial small subunit ribosomal RNA
Source: RNAcentral